UGGGAACCUACCUGGUGGUACGGAAUAACUCGGGGAAACCCGAGUUAAUACCGCAUACGCCCUGGCUUUAUUGUCGGGGGAAAGAUUUAUCGCCAUUGGAUGGGCCCGCGUCGGAUUAGCUAGUUGGUGUGGUAACGGCGCACCAAGGCGACGAUCCGUAGCUGGUCUGAGAGGAUGAUCAGCCACACUGGGACUGAGACACGGCCCAGACUCCUACGGGAGGCAG
This 226-nucleotide ribosomal RNA is filed under the name uncultured bacterium. Its description in RNAcentral is "partial 16S ribosomal RNA". It matches the Rfam family "Bacterial small subunit ribosomal RNA", at positions 118 to 351 of the family's 1533-position model. The record is from RNAcentral.